UGGGAGCACCCAAACACAGGGCAAACCAAGCAGCCACAGAAACACCACAUGGACUGGUGUCCAUGGGGCCAGGGACCAGGCAUGACUUGCAAUGGCACUGACCAUUUUCUUACUAGGAACCCACUCUUAUAAGUAAGGAAAGGAAAAAGGUGCUUCUCAGGUCACAGUAAGGAAUAGAUCAAGUCAGGAAAGAAGAAAUCCUUGAAAGAGCUGCAAGUUCUUAAUUGCCACUGAGGUCCGAGGCAGCUGAGAUAUUCAGCAGACUCUGCAUUUCUGCCCCUUAGAAUUAGGGUGCAGGGCAGUGGAGGAAGAAGGGAAAAACCACAGAUGCUGACCUUUCAGAGAUAAGCUGGAGGUGUGGGGAG
Passer domesticus (house sparrow) is the source of this 365-nucleotide long non-coding RNA. RefSeq lists it as uncharacterized. The record is from RefSeq and is a predicted model, not a curated record. The transcript is spliced from 3 exons. Lineage: Eukaryota; Metazoa; Chordata; Aves; Passeriformes; Passeridae.